AACGAACGCUGGCGGCAGGCUUAACACAUGCAAGUCGAGCGCAUCCUUCGGGGUGAGCGGCGGACGGGUGAGUAACGUGUGGGAACGUGCCCUCUUCUACGGAAUAGCCUCGGGAAACUGAGAGUAAUGCCGUAUACGCCCGCAAGGGGAAAGAUUUAUCGGAGGAGGAUCGGCCCGCGUUGGAUUAGGUAGUUGGUGGGGUAACGGCCUACCAAGCCGACGAUCCAUAGCUGGUUUGAGAGGAUGAUCAGCCACACUGGGACUGAGACACGGCCCAGACUCCUACGGGACGCAGCAGUGGGGAAUCUUGGACAAUGGGGGCAACCCUGAUCCAGCCAUGCCGCGUGAUCGAUGAAGGCCUUAGGGUUGUAAAGAUCUUUCAGCUGGGAAGAUAAUGACGGUACCAGCAGAAGAAGCCCCGGCUAACUCCGUG
Molecule: ribosomal RNA, 433 nt
Filed under: uncultured bacterium
Lineage: Bacteria
Description: partial 16S ribosomal RNA
Rfam family: Bacterial small subunit ribosomal RNA
Source: RNAcentral